UACGACCGCAUCACGUUGAAACAUUGGUUCCCGUACGAUCACCGAAGUUAAGCGACGUCGAUGCUGGUCAGUACCUAGAUGGGUGAAUUUUAUGGAAUACCACGUGCUGUAA
Non-coding RNA from Acanthosepion pharaonis, 112 nucleotides. Lineage: Eukaryota; Metazoa; Mollusca; Cephalopoda; Sepiida; Sepiidae. The record is from the annotation of a GenBank genome assembly.